UACGUAGGGGGCAAGCGUUGUCCGGAUUUAUUGGGCGUAAAGAGCUCGUAGGCCGUUCGGUAAGUCAGAUGUGAAAACUCCAGGCUCAACUUGGAGACGCCAUCUGAUACUGCCGUGACUUGAGUCCGGUAGGGGAGCACGGAAUUCCUGGUGUAGCGGUGAAAUGCGCAGAUAUCAGGAGGAACACCAGCGGCGAAGGCGGUGCUCUGGGCCGGUACUGACGCUGAGGAGCGAAAGCGUGGGGAGCGAACAGG
RNAcentral lists this ribosomal RNA (254 nucleotides) under uncultured bacterium. RNAcentral's name for it is "partial 16S ribosomal RNA". It matches the Rfam family "Bacterial small subunit ribosomal RNA", at positions 524 to 776 of the family's 1533-position model. The record is from RNAcentral. RNAcentral also lists the same sequence under 1 other name.